AACGAACGCUGGCGGCAUGCCUAACACAUGCCAGUCGAACGAGACCUUCGGGUCUAGUGGCGCACGGGUGCGUAACGCGUGGGAACAUGCCCUUAGGUUCGGAAUAACUCCCCGAAAGGGGUGCUAAUACCGGAUAAUUUCUUCGGACCAAAGAUUUAUCGCCUUUGGAUGGGCCCGCGUUGGAUUAGCUAGUUGGUAGGGUAAACGCCUACCAAGGCGAGGAUCCAUAGCUGGUCUGAGAGGAUGAUCAGCCACACUGGGACUGAGACACGGCCCAGACUCCUACGGGAGGCAGCAGUGGGGAAUAUAGGAGAAUGGGCGAAAGCCUGAUCCAGCAAGGCCGGGUGAGUGAUGAAGGCGUUAGGGUUGUAAAGCUCUUUUAACCGGGAGGAUAAUGACAGUACCGGGAGAAUAAGCUCCGGCUAACUACGUG
Molecule: ribosomal RNA, 433 nt
Filed under: uncultured bacterium
Lineage: Bacteria
Description: partial 16S ribosomal RNA
Rfam family: Bacterial small subunit ribosomal RNA
Source: RNAcentral